This 253-nucleotide ribosomal RNA is filed under the name uncultured bacterium. Its description in RNAcentral is "partial 16S ribosomal RNA". It matches the Rfam family "Bacterial small subunit ribosomal RNA", at positions 524 to 776 of the family's 1533-position model. The record is from RNAcentral.
UACAGAGGUCUCAAGCGUUGUUCGGAUUCAUUGGGCGUAAAGGGUGCGUAGGCGGCGUGGUAAGUCGGGUGUGAAAUCUCGGAGCUUAACUCCGAAACUGCAUUCGAUACUGCCGUGCUUGAGGACUGGAGAGGAGACUGGAAUUUACGGUGUAGCGGUGAAAUGCGUAGAUAUCGUAAGGAAGACCAGUGGCGAAGGCGGGUCUCUGGACAGUUCCUGACACUGAGGCACGAAGGCCAGGGGAGCAAACGGG